This is a regulatory RNA element of Culex pipiens (northern house mosquito), 46 nucleotides long. It matches the Rfam family "Histone 3' UTR stem-loop". From Rfam's summary of the family: The mRNAs of metazoan histone genes lack a poly-A tail. 3' end processing occurs at a site between a highly conserved stem-loop (modelled by this family) and a purine rich region around 20 nts downstream (the histone downstream element, or HDE). Lineage: Eukaryota; Metazoa; Arthropoda; Insecta; Diptera; Culicidae. The record is from Rfam.
CAAACGGCCCUUUUCAGGGCCACCAAAUAUCCCACGAAAGAGUUGU